This 567-nucleotide ribosomal RNA is filed under the name uncultured bacterium. Its description in RNAcentral is "bacterial LSU rRNA". It matches the Rfam family "Bacterial large subunit ribosomal RNA", at positions 420 to 977 of the family's 2925-position model. The record is from RNAcentral.
GGACACGUGAAACCCUGACUGAAUCUGGGAGGACCACCUCCCAAGGCUAAAAUACGUAUCAUGAUCGAUAGUGAACGAGUACCGUGAGGGAAAGGUGAAAAGAACCCCGUAAGGGGAGUGAAAUAGAAUCCUGAAAUCAUGUGCUUACAAUGAGUGGGAGUCCCGAUUUAUCGGGAUGACCGCGUGCUUUUUGUAGAACGAUCCAGCGAGUUAAUGUAUACGGCGUUAGGUUAAGUCUUUUUCAAGAUGGAGCCGUAGUGAAAGCGAGGGUUAAUAGCCCGAAUUAGUCGUAUGUAUUAGACCCGAAACCGGGUGACCUAACCAUGGGCAGGCUGAAGCUUCGGUAAAACGGAGUGGAGGGCCGAACCACCGCACGUUGUAAAGUGCUUGGAUGACCUGUGGUUAGCGGAGAAAUUCCAAUCGAACCCGGAGAUAGCUGGUUCUCCUCGAAAUGCUUUAGGGCUAGCGUCAUAAACUACUGCUCGGAGUAGAGCACUGAAUGGGGUUAGGGCCGUUUUACGGGUACCCACGUCCCCAACCAACUCCGAAUGCCGAGCAAGACUAUUA